RNAcentral lists this ribosomal RNA (1252 nucleotides) under metagenome. Its description in RNAcentral is "bacterial SSU rRNA". It matches the Rfam family "Bacterial small subunit ribosomal RNA", at positions 243 to 1520 of the family's 1533-position model. The record is from RNAcentral.
UGCUAGUUGGUGAGGUAACGGCCCACCAAGGCGACGAUCGGUAGCCGGACUGAGAGGUUGAACGGCCACAUUGGGACUGAGACACGGCCCAGACUCCUACGGGAGGCAGCAGUGGGGAAUAUUGCACAAUGGGGGAAACCCUGAUGCAGCGACGCCGCGUGGAGGAAGAAGGUCUUCGGAUUGUAAACUCCUGUUGUUGGGGAAGAUAAUGACGGUACCCAACAAGGAAGUGACGGCUAACUACGUGCCAGCAGCCGCGGUAAAACGUAGGUCACAAGCGUUGUCCGGAAUUACUGGGUGUAAAGGGAGCGCAGGCGGGAAGACAAGUUGGAAGUGAAAUCUAUGGGCUCAACCCAUAAACUGCUUUCAAAACUGUUUUUCUUGAGUAGUGCAGAGGUAGGCGGAAUUCCCGGUGUAGCGGUGGAAUGCGUAGAUAUCGGGAGGAACACCAGUGGCGAAGGCGGCCUACUGGGCACCAACUGACGCUGAGGCUCGAAAGUGUGGGUAGCAAACAGGAUUAGAUACCCUGGUAGUCCACACCGUAAACGAUGAUUACUAGGUGUUGGAGGAUUGACCCCUUCAGUGCCGCAGUUAACACAAUAAGUAAUCCACCUGGGGAGUACGACCGCAAGGUUGAAACUCAAAGGAAUUGACGGGGGCCCGCACAAGCAGUGGAGUAUGUGGUUUAAUUCGACGCAACGCGAAGAACCUUACCAAGUCUUGACAUCCCUUGACAGGCAUAGAAAUAUGUUUUCUCUUCGGAGCAAGGAGACAGGUGGUGCAUGGUUGUCGACAGCUCGUGUCGUGAGAUGUUGGGUUAAGUCCCGCAACGAGCGCAACCCUUAUGGUCAGUUACUACGCAAGAGGACUCUGGCCAGACUGCCGUUGACAAAACGGAGGAAGGUGGGGAUGACGUCAAAUCAUCAUGCCCUUUAUGACUUGGGCUACACACGUACUACGAUGGCGUUAAACAAAGAGAAGCGAGACCGCGAGGUGGAGCAAAACUCAGAAACAACGUCCCAGUUCGGACUGCAGGCUGCAACUCGCCUGCACGAAGUCGGAAUUGCUAGUAAUCGUGGAUCAGCAUGCCACGGUGAAUACGUUCCCGGGCCUUGUACACACCGCCCGUCACACCAUGAGAGCCGGGGUGACCCGAAGUCGGUAGUCUAACCGCAAGGAGGACGCCGCCGAAGGUAAAACUGGUGAUUGGGGUGAAGUCGUAACAAGGUAGCCGUAGGAGAACCUGCAGCUG